This 243-nucleotide ribosomal RNA is filed under the name uncultured bacterium. RNAcentral describes it as "partial 16S ribosomal RNA". It matches the Rfam family "Bacterial small subunit ribosomal RNA", at positions 15 to 253 of the family's 1533-position model. The record is from RNAcentral.
GAUCAUGGCUCAGGAUGAACGCUAGCGACAGGCUUAACACAUGCAAGUCGAGGGGCAGCACGGUGUAGCGAUACACUGGUGGCGACCGGCGCACGGGUGAGUAACACGUGUGCAACCAACCCCGUACCGGGAGAUAACCCGCGGAAACGUGGACUAACAUCCCAUGAGACUCUAGAGCCGCAUGGCUCUAGAUUUGAAAUUCCGGUGGUACGGGACGGGCACGCGCGACAUUAGGUAGUUGGG